Molecule: ribosomal RNA, 253 nt
Filed under: uncultured bacterium
Lineage: Bacteria
Description: partial 16S ribosomal RNA
Rfam family: Bacterial small subunit ribosomal RNA
Source: RNAcentral
UACGUAGGGUGCAAGCGUUGUCCGGAAUUAUUGGGCGUAAAGAGCUCGUAGGCGGUCUGUCGCGUCGGCUGUGAAAUCCCGGAGCUCAACUCCGGGUCUGCAGUCGAUACGGGCAAACUGGAGUACUGCAGGGGAGACUGGAAUUCCUGGUGUAGCGGUGAAAUGCGCAGAUAUCAGGAGGAACACCGGUGGCGAAGGCGGGUCUCUGGGCCGAUAUUGACGCUGAGGAGCGAAAGCGUGGGGAGCGAACAGG